UAGAUAGAGGCGCGGUAUCCAUCAGUACCCCGCGGCAAGGGCAGGCAGCCGCCGCGGAGAAAAGGGGAGAUCGCCGAAGAACCGGGCAGGGGCCUGCGUGGCCGGUUCUGGGCCGUCCGAAAAGAUUGGACGGACUGUCACAAAACUUUGUGGAGCGCUAUCG
RNAcentral lists this non-coding RNA (163 nucleotides) under bovine gut metagenome. RNAcentral describes it as "Lysine riboswitch". It matches the Rfam family "Lysine riboswitch aptamer". From Rfam's summary of the family: Riboswitches are metabolite binding domains within certain messenger RNAs that serve as precision sensors for their corresponding targets. The record is from RNAcentral.